RNAcentral lists this ribosomal RNA (463 nucleotides) under uncultured bacterium. Its description in RNAcentral is "partial 16S ribosomal RNA". It matches the Rfam family "Bacterial small subunit ribosomal RNA", at positions 28 to 507 of the family's 1533-position model. The record is from RNAcentral.
GACGAACGCUGGCGGCGUGCUUAACACAUGCAAGUCGAACGGAAAGGCCUUUUCGGAGGUGCUCGAGUGGCGAACGGGUGUGUAACACGUGGGUUAUCUGCCCUGCACUCUGGGAUAAGCCUGGGAAACUGGGUCUAAUACCGGAUAGGACCGCACUUUAGUGCGUGUGGUGGAAAUUUUUUGCGGUGUCGGAUGAGCCCGCGGCCUAUCAGCUUGAUGGGGGGGUAAUGGCCUACCAAGGCGGGGAAGGGUAGCCGGACGGAGAGGGUGGUCGGCCACAUUCGGUCUGAGUUACGGCCCAGACGCCUACCGGAGGCAGCCGGCGGUAGUGUUGCACCAGGGGCGGGAGCCUGAUGCAGGGACGCCGGGGGGGUGAAGACGGACUUCGGGUUGUACACGCAUUUCGCCAGUGACGAAGCGUUUUGUGACGGUAUCUGGAGAAGAAGCACCGGCUAACUACCUG